AGGGCACCACCAGGAGUGGAGCCUGCGGCUUAAUUUGACUCAACACGGGGAAACUCACCCGGCCCGGACACCGUAAGGAUUGACAGAUUGAUAGCUUUUUCAUGAUUCGGUGGAUGGUGGUGCAUGGCCGUUCUUAGUUCGUGGAGCGAUUUGUCUGGUUUAUUCCGAUAACGAGCGAGACUCUAGCCUACUAAAUAGUUCGCACAUUGUCUCUGUGUGUGUGACUUCUUAGAGGGAUUUUCGGUGUUCAGCCGCACGAAAUUGAGCAAUAACAGGUCUGUGAUGCCCUUAGAUGUCCGGGGCUGCACGCGCGCUACACUGGCAAAAUCAGCGUGCUUGUCCUUCCCCGAAAGGGGUUGGUAAACUCUUGAAAAUUUGCCGUGAUUGGGAUUGGAAAUUGCAAUUAUUUUCCAUGAACGAGGAAUUCCAAGUAAGUGCGAGUCAUCAGCUCGCGUUGAUUACGUCCCUGCCCUUUGUACACACCGCCCGUCGCUGCCCGGGACUGAGCCAUUUCGAGAA
This 519-nucleotide ribosomal RNA is filed under the name uncultured eukaryote. Its description in RNAcentral is "SSU rRNA". It matches the Rfam family "Eukaryotic small subunit ribosomal RNA", at positions 1161 to 1705 of the family's 1831-position model. The record is from RNAcentral.